RNAcentral lists this ribosomal RNA (845 nucleotides) under uncultured Clostridium sp. RNAcentral's name for it is "bacterial SSU rRNA". It matches the Rfam family "Bacterial small subunit ribosomal RNA", at positions 19 to 881 of the family's 1533-position model. The record is from RNAcentral. Lineage: Bacteria; Bacillati; Bacillota; Clostridia; Eubacteriales; Clostridiaceae.
CUGGCUCAGGACGAACGCUGGCGGCGUGCUUAACACAUGCAAGUCGAGCGAUGAAGCUUCCUUCGGGAAGUGGAUUAGCGGCGGACGGGUGAGUAACACGUGGGUAACCUGCCUCAAAGUGGGGGAUAGCCUUCCGAAAGGAAGAUUAAUACCGCAUAACAUAAGAGAAUCGCAUGAUUUUCUUAUCAAAGAUUUAUUGCUUUGAGAUGGACCCGCGGCGCAUUAGCUAGUUGGUAAGGUAACGGCUUACCAAGGCAACGAUGCGUAGCCGACCUGAGAGGGUGAUCGGCCACAUUGGAACUGAGACACGGUCCAGACUCCUACGGGAGGCAGCAGUGGGGAAUAUUGCGCAAUGGGGGGAACCCUGACGCAGCAACGCCGCGUGGGUGAUGAAGGUCUUCGGGUUGUAAAGCCCUGUUUUCUGGGACGAUAAUGACGGUACCAGAGGAGGAAGCCCCGGCUAAAUACGUGCCCGCAGCCGCGGUAAUACGUAGGUGGCCAGCGUUUUCCGGAUUUUCUGGGCGUAAAGGGUGCGUAGGCGGAUGUUUAAGUUGGAUGUGAAAUCCCCGGGCUUAACCUGGGGGCUGCAUUCCAAACUGGAUAUCUAGAGUGCAGGAGAGGAAAGCGGAAUUCCUAGUGUAGCGGUGAAAUGCGUAGAGAUUAGGAAGAACACCAGUGGCGAAGGCGGCUUUCUGGACUGUAACUGACGCUGAGGCACGAAAGCGUGGGGAGCAAACAGGAUUAGAUACCCUGGUAGUCCACGCCGUAAACGAUGGAUACUAGGUGUAGGGGGUAUCAACUCCNCCUGUGCCGCAGCUAACACAAUAAGUAUCCGCGUGGAGAGU